This 1790-nucleotide long non-coding RNA is filed under the name Anser cygnoides (Swan goose). RNAcentral describes it as "lncRNA (ENSACDG00005008624.1)". Lineage: Eukaryota; Metazoa; Chordata; Aves; Anseriformes; Anatidae. The record is from RNAcentral.
AUGUCUGACCGUGCCAGGCAGGCACCAGUGGCUGCAGUAGUGACCUGGGUAGAGGGGAUUAUACAUGACCUAAAUACUGCCCCGUGCCUGACACAAACCACGCAGCACUGCGGUGCGGAGCCAAAGGGCCGCACAAAAUGGCUCCACGAGGGGAGCUUGGCGUCCCCCCAGCUCUUGCUCGACCCCGUUAACAGCAUGACUCCUAUUUAUGGCCUGUGUGCUAGACUCUUUACAGCCUCGGACGAUUUUGCUUCCCUCUGCCUUCGCCUACCUGCCCUGCUUGUGCACCUCGCCAUGGGCUUCCCGUCUCUGCCGCUGGGGCCGGCUGCAGUGAAACGACAAGAAAAGGCUGCAUACUGAGAUCCUGACCUUGCCAGGAGUAGGAACCCAGUCUGAAGAGCAGUCAUGUGAGCCACCAGCCACCACUGGAAACCAGAAAUGCUUUCAGUGCCCCAGAGGUCAAGGAACUAUGCAGUGUAAGUGUCUGACACAAUGACAGCUCUACCCAAAUCACGAACCCGACCUUCUCGUCUUUAAUUACACAAAGCUUCAAAUUGCACGGUAAUGCACAGUAUACACACUGUAAAACAUCCCUGGAGCUAUAAUCAGACUGCAACAGCCGCACAUAAAAGACCCCGUCACAUUUACAUUUUCUAACCUCUUCCUAAUGGGCACUUGCCUUUACCGAAGAGCUUUUAAUGCAAACUUGGGUGGAUGUGUCAUGGUAUCUCCAUUGUGAUUCACUUUUGCAAUAGCCGGAGGAGCACAAGGGUACCAGCGUGAUUGAUACGAUGUUGUUUGACUUCUGGAAAGCUAUUUACCCUGUGCAGCUCUGUUUCUUUCAGAGACAGCACUCUGUGUCUCCAGGGCAUGUUGCCAGAGUACUGUUUGUUACUUCUUCAGCGGAUUCAGUCAUGGAUGUUGUCAGAGACUCUAAAAAUCAGGCUUAAUAUAAAGUUAGUGGGGUUUCUGCAGCCUUUACCCUUGCCCCUUCUUAACAAGUGUACUUCCAUCCUUUGGGUCGCUCACAUGAGAUACAUGCUGUCUCUGCCUAAGCUGAAAUACAUCAGCUGGAUACUUCGUACGUGUUGGAUAUAGGACUAUCCCCAAGGAGGAUAUUAGCACAGACACCAAACAAAAUUUGGACAACUCGAGGAUGCAGUGGUGUAUCCACUGCAUUUCACUAUGGUGGUGUCAGCAGAGGUGGUGGUUAUUCAUAGUGCUCCUAGCAUUAGUGUCCUCUUUGCACGACUUGAAAUCAAACUCUCCAGAAAGGUGAGAGGAUGAGAGGAGUAUGAAUACACGUAUGUACACUGAGGUGACAGUGACUAAAACUAAAGGAGCCUACACAGAAAGGGAAAGAGUAUAAUAUUUCCUUUGCAGGUACAGGAGGCAAAUGUCCGAAGAGGAAGAUUUUACUUUUCAGUGUUAAAGAUCAGUAAAUGAGAUAGCAUAGGAGUUCACCAGGAUUGGGAUCAUGCCACUUUGUAUAGAUGCCAAGGAUUUCACCAUGAAUAGCUUUUGCACUUUAUUAUCGUAUUUGUCUUUAUAUCCCUGUCUCUCUUGCACCUUGCUUAUAACACAUCAGAACAGGUUCACAUGCUCCUCAUAGCCAACACUGGGACUUCUGCAGGUAGUGGUGAGGAUAUUGGUGGACCUCAAGAAAUCAUAACACUAAUGAAGAAUUAGAUUUCAACACAACGUGAAUGGCAGGGAGGAGAGAAGUGCCAAUGAACCCAUGACCCCAAGGCCUUCUUAUCACAGAAUAAAAAUCAGAUAGAGGCAAGGCA